This 506-nucleotide ribosomal RNA is filed under the name uncultured bacterium. Its description in RNAcentral is "partial 16S ribosomal RNA". It matches the Rfam family "Bacterial small subunit ribosomal RNA", at positions 28 to 523 of the family's 1533-position model. The record is from RNAcentral.
GAUGAACGCUAGCUACAGGCUUAACACAUGCAAGUCGAGGGGUAACGAGAGGAAAGCUUGCUUUCCUUGUCGACGACCGGCGCAAGGGUGAGUAACGCGUAUCCAACCUGCCCCCAACUAAGGAAUAACCUUGCGAAAGUAAGACUAAUACCUUAUAAUUUCCUCAGAUGACAUCUUACGAGGAAUAAAGAUUUAUCGGUUGUGGAUGGGGAUGCGUCUGAUUAGCUUGUUGGCGGGGUAACGGCCCACCAAGGCAACGAUUAGUAGGGGUUCUGAGAGGAAGGUCCCCCACAUUGGAACUGAGACACGGUCCAAACUCCUACGGGAGGCAGCAGUGAGGAAUAUUGGUCAAUGGGCGGAAGCCUGAACCAGCCAAGUAGCGUGCAGGAUGACGGCCCUAUGGGUUGUAAACUGCUUUUAUACAGGAAUAAAGUUAGCCACGUGUGGUUAUUUGUAGGUACUGUAUGAAUAAGGACCGGCUAAUUCCGUGCCAGCCGCCGCCGUAA